UGGGGAAUAUUGGACAAUGGGCGCAAGCCUGAUCCAGCCAUGCCGCGUGAGUGAUGAAGGCCCUCUGGGUUGUAAACUUCUUUUAUAUGGGACGAAAAAGGGUCUUUCUAGAUCAACUGACGGUACCAUGUGAAUAAGCACCGGCUAGCUCCGUGCCAGCAGCCGCGGUAAUACGUAGGGUGCAAGCGUUAAUCGGAAUUACUGGGCGUAAAGCGUGCGCAGGCGGUUAUGCAAGACAGAGGUGAAAUCCCCGGGCUCAACCUGGGAACUGCCUUUGUGACUGCAUAGCUAGAGUACGGUAGAGGGGGAUGGAAUUCCGCGUGUAGCAGUGAAAUGCGUAGAUAUGCGGAGGAACACCGAUGGCGAAGGCAAUCCCCUGGGCCUGCACUGACGCUCAUGCACGAAAGCGUGGGGAGCAAACA
Molecule: ribosomal RNA, 422 nt
Filed under: uncultured bacterium
Lineage: Bacteria
Description: bacterial SSU rRNA
Rfam family: Bacterial small subunit ribosomal RNA
Source: RNAcentral